UGGUCUAGCGGUUAGAACGCUGGGUUUGUAAUCCUGGGGUCUCGGGUUCGAUUCCCGG
RNAcentral lists this transfer RNA (58 nucleotides) under Zootermopsis nevadensis. It matches the Rfam family "tRNA", at positions 8 to 63 of the family's 71-position model. Rfam says of the family: Transfer RNA (tRNA) molecules are approximately 80 nucleotides in length. Their secondary structure includes four short double-helical elements and three loops (D, anti-codon, and T loops). The record is from Rfam by way of RNAcentral. Lineage: Eukaryota; Metazoa; Arthropoda; Insecta; Blattodea; Termopsidae.